AUUGAACGCUGGCGGCAUGCCUUACACAUGCAAGUCGAACGGCAGCACGGGUGCUUGCACCUGAUGGCGAGUGGCGAACGGGUGAGUAAUACAUCGGAACGUACCUUAUCGUGGGGGAUAACGCAGCGAAAGCUGUGCUAAUACCGCAUACGCCCUGAGGGGGAAAGCGGGGGAUCGCAAGACCUCGCGCGAUUAGAGCGGCCGAUGCCUGAUUAGCUUGUUGGUGGGGUAAAAGCCCACCAAGGCGACGAUCAGUAGCUGGUCUGAGAGGACGAUCAGCUACACUGGGACUGAGACACGGCCCAGACUCCUACGGGAGGCAGCAGUGGGGAAUUUUGGACAAUGGGGGCAACCCUGAUCCAGCAAUGCCGCGUGAGUGAAGAAGGCCUUCGGGUUGUAAAGCUCUUUUGUCAGGGAAGAAACACCGGCUCUAACACAGUCUGGGAAUGACGGUACCUGAAGAAUAAGCACCGGCUAACUACGUGCCAGCCGCCGCCGUAA
This 501-nucleotide ribosomal RNA is filed under the name uncultured bacterium. RNAcentral describes it as "partial 16S ribosomal RNA". It matches the Rfam family "Bacterial small subunit ribosomal RNA", at positions 30 to 523 of the family's 1533-position model. The record is from RNAcentral.